UAAGGUAUUAAAGUUGAUCGCUGCUUGGUAACAAGGAGAGGAAAGUCCGAGCUCCAUAGAGCAAGAGGGCAGCUAACGGCUGCUAAAGGUAACUUUAAGGAAAGUGCCACAGAAAAUAGACCGCCAGUAAUGGUAAGGGUGAAAAGGUGGUGUAAGAGACCACCAGUUUCUUAGGAGACUAAGAAAGCUUGGUAAACCCCCUCUGGAGCAAGACUAAAUAGGAAAGGUUAAGGGCUGCUCGUCCAGCUUUCAGGGUAAGUUGCUAGAAACUAUAAGCAAUUAUAGGAUUAGAUAAAUGAUCAGCAUAAACAAAACUCGGCUUAUUUAAUGCCUUAAAUU
Molecule: RNase P RNA, 339 nt
Filed under: Fusobacterium sp.
Lineage: Bacteria; Fusobacteriati; Fusobacteriota; Fusobacteriia; Fusobacteriales; Fusobacteriaceae
Description: RNase P RNA component class A
Rfam family: Bacterial RNase P class A
About the family: Ribonuclease P (RNase P) is a ubiquitous endoribonuclease, found in archaea, bacteria and eukarya as well as chloroplasts and mitochondria. Its best characterised activity is the generation of mature 5'-ends of tRNAs by cleaving the 5'-leader elements of precursor-tRNAs. Cellular RNase Ps are ribonucleoproteins.
Source: RNAcentral